Molecule: ribosomal RNA, 500 nt
Filed under: uncultured bacterium
Lineage: Bacteria
Description: partial 16S ribosomal RNA
Rfam family: Bacterial small subunit ribosomal RNA
Source: RNAcentral
AUUGAACGCUGGCGGCAGGCCUAACACAUGCAAGUCGAGCGGAUGAGAGGAGCUUGCUCUUCGAUUCAGCGGCGGACGGGUGAGUAAUGCCUAGGAAUCUGCCUAGUAGUGGGGGACAACGUUUCGAAAGGAACGCUAAUACCGCAUACGUCCUACGGGAGAAAGUGGGGGAUCUUCGGACCUCACGCUAUUAGAUGAGCCUAGGUCGGAUUAGCUAGUUGGUAGGGUAAAGGCCUACCAAGGCGACGAUCCGUAACUGGUCUGAGAGGAUGAUCAGUCACACUGGAACUGAGACACGGUCCAGACUCCUACGGGAGGCAGCAGUGGGGAAUAUUGGACAAUGGGCGAAAGCCUGAUCCAGCCAUGCCGCGUGUGUGAAGAAGGCCUUCGGGUCGUAAAGCACUUUAAGUUGGGAGGAAGGGCUCAUAGCGAAUACCUGUGAGUUUUGACGUUACCAACAGAAUAAGCACCGGCUAACUUCGUGCCAGCAGCCGCCGCAG